UACGUAGGGGGCAAGCGUUGUCCGGAAUCAUUGGGCGUAAAGAGCGUGUAGGCGGCCCGAUAAGUCCGCUGUGAAAUCUCGAGGCUCAACUUCGAGCUGUCGGUGGAAACUGUCUGGCUAGAGUCCGGAAGAGGAGAAUGGAAUUCCUGGUGUAGCGGUGAAAUGCGCAGAUAUCAGGAAGAACACCCGUGGCGAAGGCGGUUCUCUGGGACGGUACUGACGCUGAGGCACGAAGGCCAGGGGAGCAAACGGG
RNAcentral lists this ribosomal RNA (253 nucleotides) under uncultured bacterium. RNAcentral's name for it is "partial 16S ribosomal RNA". It matches the Rfam family "Bacterial small subunit ribosomal RNA", at positions 524 to 776 of the family's 1533-position model. The record is from RNAcentral.